This 342-nucleotide ribosomal RNA is filed under the name uncultured soil bacterium. RNAcentral's name for it is "bacterial SSU rRNA". It matches the Rfam family "Bacterial small subunit ribosomal RNA", at positions 26 to 372 of the family's 1533-position model. The record is from RNAcentral.
AGGACGAACGCUGGCGGCGUGCUUAACACAUGCAGGUCGAGCGGAAAGGCCUUUCGGGGUACUCGAGCGGCGAACGGGUGAGUAACACGUGAGUAAUCUGCCCAUCGCUUCAGGAUAGCCAUCGGAAACGGUGAUUAAUACUGGAUAUGACAUUCCUUCGCAUGUUGGGGUGUGGAAAGUUUUUCGGCGGUGGAUGUGCUCGCGGCCUAUCAGCUUGUUGGUGGGGUAAUGGCCUACCAAGGCCUUGACGGGUAGCCGGCCUGAGAGGGUGACCGGCCACACUGGGACUGAGACACGGCCCAGACUCCUACGGGAGGCAGCAGUGGGGAAUAGUUGGACAAU